Molecule: long non-coding RNA, 1794 nt
Organism: Cyprinus carpio carpio
Lineage: Eukaryota; Metazoa; Chordata; Actinopteri; Cypriniformes; Cyprinidae
Source: Ensembl
UGCGUGUGAACUAUAAAAGGCAGGAUCGCGCGUUUGUUCUUCCCAGUUCCGUGUUUCUUGUGAAGGGUAAGCACUUUGUGGUUUUUAUUUAUUUCUUUCUACUAGAAAAGUUUUUUAAGUCUCGUUCUGUAGUGUUACACAGUGCUAAAGUUGUACGAAUAAAACUAAAAUUAAAAUAACUAAAAUUAAGGAUUUUCGUGUAGUUCCGCGCUGACCACGUGGCUCGUUUCCUGUGCACCCGGGAAAGUUCUAGAGACAAAGAAACCUUGACUGGUUCUGGUUUACUAUUCUAUUAUACUAGCCUAUUUAGAGCAUAUGGUUGUUACUAAGAUGGAUGCACACAAGUUAAUGUUAUUCAAUUGUUUCAACGUUGCACAUGGUAAUUAAGCAGUAGGUUUUUUCCAGUGGCUACACUAUCUUAGCAGCUGUAUUAUGAAUUUCACUCUAUAUCUGUUUGUUUUACAGUAUGUGGGCUGUUGGACCAUGGAGGUUUCCUACAGUGCUUCCUCAGAUUUUGGUGAGUUUAGAUUUCCUCUAGACUUUGCUUCAACACUUUUGUUAGCAAUGAUGACUGAUCUUUUUUCCCCAGCAGAUCGACACUGUUGACCUUUUUCUUAAAAAAAUAAGCCAAAUGAUCUGAGCAACCAUAUAGUUGUGCCAAAAUUUGACGUUCGUGUUUUGAAAAGUCAUUGACGUUUACUACUCCCUAUCCCACAGAUCAUACUGGAGCCAAAUGGAUGACCUUAAAUUCAUCAGACUUCGUUUCAUAAGUCUUUAACUCCCCAAAACAGGAGAAUUCUGUAAUUCAAGAGGACCACACAAUGAGAGACCCUUGACGAAUGGCCACAUGUGAAGGCGUUUGAGCGACCUGUGUUCCUGAAUGCCCUUCAGUGCCAAGCCCACGUGGAGCAGUGGAUGACAUACACGAGGGGUUUUCUCAAAGCAGACUAGUGUUUACCAGCCAUAGGAGAGGAAAUACCUUUUUAAAGUUUUAGAGUAUUAAAGUUGCUAUUAUUUUGACCUACUAGUGUUCCAACAUGCUUUUUGAGGCAUUCAAGUUUGUUCAACUUUAAUUUCUCAGAAUGCUUUCACUAAUUAUUGCUUGUAACUUGUUGGUUCUAUGCUUGUGUAAAUGGUCUUUCAGCAGGCAGUUACCUCUUUUACUGUUUCAAUAAAACUAGUUAAUGACUUUGCAUUUAUGAAAACUGUGUGUGGGGGGCUUUUUUUGUGUGUGACCUUUUUAUAGAGGUCAAAUAAUGUAAAUCAAGCUAAGCUUUCAGUGGUGUGAAAUUUGUGUGGGGGUCAUGCAAAUGUUAAAUUGUAUGAUUAAUGUAGGUUGUGUCUAAAAUGCAGGAACUUAGAGGUCAUUAUUUUUAGGUCCUAUCAAGAUAAUGGUGCUCUUAUGCAUUUAACACCAUAAUUAAAUACUAUACUGCACACGGUUUUAAAGCAUUCUUCCAUGUUAACCAAGCAGUAGCUCUUUACAUGUUUCUUCUGUUAUAUGAAUGGUCACAAAGCCUGCUUCUCCAAGGUUUUAAAUUAGUGAAUUGUACAUCCACUAAAAUUGAAAUAACUGACAUUUGUAUAGGGCACUAAGAAAUGUGUUCUGUCCCCAUUUGAUUCACAGACAGAAAAGGCAAUAUCAAUCUUUUGUACAAAAUAUACAGACGUCUUAAGACUUCAAGACAUCCCACACUAAAAAAAAAAACUCAUUCCGAUAAAUCCACCCAAUGCUGCAACAAUUCUCUCUUUUGUGUCUGCAGUGAUGUAACCGCAAUCUAUGAUCCAAAUAAC